Molecule: ribosomal RNA, 1019 nt
Filed under: uncultured bacterium
Lineage: Bacteria
Description: bacterial SSU rRNA
Rfam family: Bacterial small subunit ribosomal RNA
Source: RNAcentral
UGAGGAAUAUUGGUCAAUGGACGAGAGUCUGAACCAGCCAAGUAGCGUGAAGGAUGAAGGUUCUAUGGAUUGUAAACUUCUUUUAUACGGGAAUAAACGGAUCCACGUGUGGAUUUUUGCAUGUACCGUAUGAAUAAGGAUCGGCUAACUCCGUGCCAGCAGCCGCGGUAAUACGGAGGAUCCGAGCGUUAUCCGGAUUUAUUGGGUUUAAAGGGAGCGUAGAUGGGUUGUUAAGUCAGUUGUGAAAGUUUGCGGCUCAACCGUAAAAUUGCAAUUGAUACUGGCAGUCUUGAGUACAGUUGAGGUAGGCGGAAUUCGUGGUGUAGCGGUGAAAUGCUUAGAUAUCACGAAGAACUCCGAUUGCGAAGGCAGCUUACUAACCUGUAACUGACAUUGAUGCUCGAAAGUGUGGGUAUCAAACAGGAUUAGAUACCCUGGUAGUCCACACGGUAAACGAUGAAUACUCGCUGUAGGCGAUAUACAGUCUGCGGCCAAGCGAAAGCAUUAAGUAUUCCACCUGGGGAGUACGCCGGCAACGGUGAAACUCAAAGGAAUUGACGGGGGCCCGCACAAGCGGAGGAACAUGUGGUUUAAUUCGAUGAUACGCGAGGAACCUUACCCGGGCUUAAAUUGCAACCGAAUAUGGCGGAAACGCCAUAGCUAGCAAUAGCGGUUGUGAAGGUGCUGCAUGGUUGUCGUCAGCUCGUGCCGUGAGGUGUCGGCUUAAGUGCCAUAACGAGCGCAACCCUUGCCGAUAGUUACUAACAGGUUAUGCUGAGGACUCUGUCGGGACUGCCAUCGUAAGAUGUGAGGAAGGUGGGGAUGACGUCAAAUCAGCACGGCCCUUACGUCCGGGGCUACACACGUGUUACAAUGGGGGGUACAGAGGGCUGCUACCACGCAAGUGGAUGCCAAUCCCAAAAACCUCUCUCAGUUCGGAUUGAAGUCUGCAACCCGACUUCAUGAAGCUGGAUUCGCUAGUAAUCGCGCAUCAGCCACGGCGCGGUGAAUACGUUCCC